GGGCCUAUGGAUUAGUGGAAGAUCGUUUCCUUGGCAUGGAAAAGGCCGCGGGUUCAAUUCCCGCUAGGUCCA
This 72-nucleotide transfer RNA is filed under the name Promethearchaeota archaeon. Its description in RNAcentral is "Candidatus Lokiarchaeota archaeon (permafrost metagenome) tRNA-Ala". It matches the Rfam family "tRNA". From Rfam's summary of the family: Transfer RNA (tRNA) molecules are approximately 80 nucleotides in length. Their secondary structure includes four short double-helical elements and three loops (D, anti-codon, and T loops). Lineage: Archaea; Promethearchaeati; Promethearchaeota. RNAcentral also lists the same sequence under 1 other name. The record is from RNAcentral.